RNAcentral lists this ribosomal RNA (1883 nucleotides) under Synstelium polycarpum. Its description in RNAcentral is "SSU rRNA". It matches the Rfam family "Eukaryotic small subunit ribosomal RNA". The record is from RNAcentral. Lineage: Eukaryota; Evosea; Eumycetozoa.
AACCUGGUUGAUCCUGCCAGUAGUCAUAUGCUUGUCUCAAAGAUUAAGCCAUGCAUGUCUAAGUAUAAAUCUUUGUACGGUGAAACUGCAGACGGCUCAUUACAACAGUGAUAAACUACAGAACUUUCGCGAUUUAUCGUUAUGGGUAACCGCAGUAAAUCGGGGCUAAUACAUACAAACGGAAGGCGAGCGGGCAGCUGCGAGUCCUUGCGAUUAUUAACCAUUCUAACCAAUCUCUUCGGAGUUUGUGGCGAAACCGAAUAAUAUUGCUGAUCGAAUUUUAAUUCGACAAGUUCUAUGUGUCACUGCCCUAUCAACUUUCGAUGGUACGGUAUUGGCCUACCAUGGUUGUAACGGGUAACGGGGAAUUAGGGUUCGAUUCCGGAGAGGGCGCCUGAGAAAUGGCGACCACUUCUACGGAAGGCAGCAGGCGCGCAAAUUACUCAAUCCCAACACGGGGAAGUAGUGACAAUAAAUAUUAAUGCCUAUCAGUUUUACUGAGGGCAAUUGAAAUAAGUACAAUUUAAAUCGCUUAACCAAUUUAAUUGGAGGGCAAGUCUGGUGCCAGCAGCCGCGGUAAUUCCAGCUCCAAUAGCGUAUACUAAAUUUGUUGCAGUUAAAAAGCUCGUAGUUAAAAUUGAAAUUAUAUGGAUAAAACUUGAUUAGCAUCAUUCGUGGUGUUUUAUUCUUGCCAUUAAUUUCUUAUGAUUCAACUCCUCGCCUAGCGUUGGAUGUUUGAAUUCUCCACUGUGAGAAAAAUGUAGUGUUUAAAGCAGGCGAUUAGUCUGAUCUUUUGCAGCAUGGUAUGGUAAAAUAAGAUACUAAACACUCGUUGGUUGUGUUCUGGUAUAAUGAUUAAUAGGGAAGGGCGGGGCCGUUCAUAUUGAUGGGCGAGAGGUGAAAUUCGUUGACCCUAUCAAGAUGCACUACAGCGAAAGCAUUCGGCAAGUACUUCUCCAUUAAUCAAGAACGAAAGUUUGGGGAUCGAAGACGAUCAGAUACCGUCGUAGUCCAAACCAUAAACUAUGUCGACCAGGGAUUGGGUGGGUAAUUUUUAAUAAACCUAUUCAGAACCUUGUGGGAAACCAUGAGUGUUUGGACUCUGGGGGGAGUAUGGUCGCAAGUCUGAAACUUAAAGGAAUUGACGGAAGGGCACACAGUGGAGUGGAACCUGCGGCUUAAUUUGACUCAACUCGGGAAAACUUACCAAGCUAAGAUAUAGCAAGGAUUGACAGACUAAAAGAUUUUUCAUGAUUCUAUAAGUGGUGGUGCAUGGUCGUUCUUAGUUGGUGGAGUGAUUUGUCUGGUCAAUUCCGAUAACGGACGAGACCUCGACCUACUAAAUAGUGGUGCGUAUUUGGUCAAUAUGGGUGAUAGUAUUAUGGCAGUGCUGCAGCGUUUUCGGAUGUUGUAGUAUUGACAUAGUAUGUGUAAUUCGAUCAUUUAGGCACUAAAAAAUUAAAAUACUUCUUAGAGGGACUACCUACCUCAAGUGGGGGGAAGUUCGAGGCAAUAACAGGUCUGUGAUGCCCUUAGAUACCUUGGGCUGCACGCGCGUUACAAUGUAAGGUGGAAAAAGGUUCCUGGACCGAAAGGUUUGGGUAAUCAUUUGAAUACCCUACGUAAUGGGGAUUGUUCUUUGUAAUUAUCGAACAUCAACGAGGAAUUCCUUGUAAGCGUAAAUCAUUACUUUACGCUGAAUAUGUCCCUGCCCUUUGUACACACCGCCCGUCGCUCCUACCGAUCGAACGAUACGGUAAAAUUGACAGAUUGUUUUUAAUUCCGAAAGGAAAGUCUAAGACAAAAAGUUAUUUAAAUCUCAUUGUUUAGAGGAAGGAGAAGUCGUAACAAGGUAUCCGUAGGUGAACCUGCAGAAGGAUCAA